UUUUAUUGCUCCUUAGAUCGGUGUUGGACCGGCGAACAAUUUAGGCCUAUGUUAUCAGAGGACUUGCUAACAUGAAGAAAACGGUCCAGAGGUUCCACCUGAGAGCCGGGACUGUCACAUAGUAAGAGACAACGAAAAGGGGGGAACUGUCUUUAAGCUGUGGAGUCAGAUGGAGGGCUCGCAUUUACCUCAAAAACGGCAUUGCAGAAGACUCGAACAACUAGAACCAACUCAAGCACACAAUGGUGACACACAUUUGUAAGACCUUUCCCUGUGAUAAUUAUUCAGAUUCUUCUCAUUCUCAUUGUGCAGCACUGUUUUAA
Molecule: long non-coding RNA, 323 nt
Organism: Onychostoma macrolepis
Lineage: Eukaryota; Metazoa; Chordata; Actinopteri; Cypriniformes; Cyprinidae
Exons: 3
Source: RefSeq, a predicted model, not a curated record